UUCGCCCUUAGAGUUUGAUCCUGGCUCAGGACGAACGCUGGCGGCGCGCCUAACACAUGCAAGUCGAACGAGCGAGAGAGAGCUUGCUUUCUCGAGCGAGUGGCGAACGGGUGAGUAACGCGUGAGGAACCUGCCUCAAAGAGGGGGACAACAGUUGGAAACGACUGCUAAUACCGCAUAAGCCCACGGCUCGGCAUCGAGCAGAGGGAAAAGGAGCAAUCCGCUUUGAGAUGGCCUCGCGUCCGAUUAGCUAGUUGGUGAGGUAAUGGCCCACCAAGGCAACGAUCGGUAGCCGGACUGAGAGGUUGAACGGCCACAUUGGGACUGAGACACGGCCCAGACUCCUACGGGAGGCAGCAGUGGGGAAUAUUGCACAAUGGGGGAAACCCUGAUGCAGCGACGCCGCGUGGAGGAAGAAGGUCUUCGGAUUGUAAACUCCUGUUGUUGAGGAAGAUAAUGACGGUACUCAACAAGGAAGUGACGGCUAACUACGUGCCAGCAGCCGCGGUAAAACGUAGGGUGCAAGCGUUGUCCGGAACUACUGGGUGUAAAGGGAGCGCAGGCGGGAAGACAAGUUGGAAGUGAAAACCAUGGGCUCAACCCAUGAAUUGCUUUCAAAACUGUUUUUCUUGAGUAGUGCAGAGGUAGAUGGAAUUCCCGGUGUAGCGGUGGAAUGCGUAGAUAUCGGGAGGAACACCAGUGGCGAAGGCGGUCUACUGGGCACCAACUGACGCUGAGGCUCGAAAGCAUGGGUAGCAAACAGAAUUAGAUACCCUGGUAGUCCAUGCCGUAAACGAUGAUUACUAGGUGUUGGGGGAUUGACCCCCUCAGUGCCGCAGUUAACACAAUAAGUAAUCCACCUGGGGAGUACGACCGCAAGGUUGAAACUCAAAGGAAUUGACGGGGGCCCGCACAAGCAGUGGAGUAUGUGGUUUAAUUCGAAGCAACGCGAAGAACCUUACCAGGUCUUGACAUCCGAUGCAUAGCGCAGAGAUGCGUGAAGUCCUUCGGGACAUCGAGACAGGUGGUGCAUGGUUGUCGUCAGCUCGUGUCGUGAGAUGUUGGGUUAAGUCCCGCAACGAGCGCAACCCUUAUUGCCAGUUACUACGUAAGAGGACUCUGGCGAGACUGCCGUUGACAAAACGGAGGAAGGUGGGGAUGACGUCAAAUCAUCAUGCCCUUUAUGACCUGGGCUACACACGUACUACAAUGGCGUUUAACAAAGAGAAGCAAGACCGCGAGGUGGAGCAAAACUCAAAAACAACGUCUCAGUUCAGAUUGCAGGCUGCAACUCGCCUGCAUGAAGUCGGAAUUGCUAGUAAUCGCGGAUCAGCAUGCCGCGGUGAAUACGUUACGGGGCCUUGCACUCACCGCCCGUCA
This 1380-nucleotide ribosomal RNA is filed under the name uncultured bacterium. Its description in RNAcentral is "16S ribosomal RNA". It matches the Rfam family "Bacterial small subunit ribosomal RNA". The record is from RNAcentral.